RNAcentral lists this ribosomal RNA (351 nucleotides) under uncultured bacterium. RNAcentral's name for it is "bacterial SSU rRNA". It matches the Rfam family "Bacterial small subunit ribosomal RNA", at positions 29 to 359 of the family's 1533-position model. The record is from RNAcentral.
AAUCAACGCUGGCGGCGUGCCUAACACAUGCAAGUCGAACGCGAAAAGGGGGCAACCCUGAGUAGAGUGGCGUCCGGGUGAGUAACACGUGGAUAAUCUGCCUGCGGGGCGGGGGAAUAACUUUCCGAAAGGGGAGGCUAAUACCGCAUAACACCGUAAUGGGGCGAUCCUGAGACGGUCAAAGAGGGGGAGUCGCAAGACCUCUCGCCUGCAGAGGAGUCCGCGGCCGAUUAGCUAGUUGGCGAGGUAACGGCUCACCAAGGCGGCGAUCGGUAGCCGGCCUGAGAGGGGCGGGUCGGCCACACUGACACUGACAUACGGGUCAGACUCCUACGGGAGGCAGCAGUCGGG